This 497-nucleotide ribosomal RNA is filed under the name uncultured bacterium. RNAcentral's name for it is "partial 16S ribosomal RNA". It matches the Rfam family "Bacterial small subunit ribosomal RNA", at positions 28 to 507 of the family's 1533-position model. The record is from RNAcentral.
GAUGAACGCUGGCGGCGUGCCUAAUACAUGCGAGUCGAGCGAACAGACGAGGAGCUUGCUCCUCUGACGUUAGCGGCGGACGGGUGAGUAACACGUGGAUAACCUACCUAUAAGACUGGGAUAACUUCGGGAAACCGGAGCUAAUACCAGAUAAUAUAUUGAACCGCAUGGUUCAAUAGUGAAAGACGGUUUUGCUGUCACUUAUAGAUGGAUCCGCGCCGCAUUAGCUAGUUGGUAAGGUAACGGCUUACCAAGGCAACGAUGCGUAGCCGACCUGAGAGGGUGAUCGGCCACACUGGAACUGAGACACGGUCCAGACUCCUACGGGAGGCAGCAGUAGGGAAUCUUCCGCAAUGGGCGAAAGCCUGACGGAGCGACGCCGCGUGAGUGAUGAAGGUCUUCGGAUCGUAAAACUCUGUUAUUAGGGAAGAACAAAUGUGUAAGUAACUAUGCACGUCUUGACGGUACCUAAUCAGAAAGCCACGGCUAACUACGUG